UAACACAGUGGAUGCUUGAGAGCUUGGAC
This 29-nucleotide non-coding RNA is filed under the name Homo sapiens (human). Lineage: Eukaryota; Metazoa; Chordata; Mammalia; Primates; Hominidae. The record is from RNAcentral.